UUUUUUUUUUUUUUUUUGAAUGUAGCCUCUAGUGCCUAGGUUUAAAUAGCAGAACUGGCACGUAUUACUUAUUUAGCUGUGCACGAAUUGUCUAACCUAUGUUUUGAGUUCCAUAUCUUUAAAGUAGAUAUAGGCAUUCCCAUUGUGCCUCAGUGAGUUAAGAACCUGAUAUAGUGUCUGUGAGGAUAUGGGUUCGAUCCCUGGCCUUGCUCAGUGGGAGAAGGGAUCUGGUGUUGCCACAGACUGUGGCAUAGGUCACAGAUGUGGCUCAGAUCUGGUACUGAUAUGGCUGUGGCAUAUGCCUGCAGCUGCAGCUCUGAUUAGACCGCUGGCCUGGGAACUCGCAUAUACUGCAGGUGUGGCCUUAAAAAAAAAGGGAAAAAAAAUAGGUGUAAAUAAUAAUACACAACUCAUGGAAAUAUUGAAAGAUGUAGAACAAGACAAAAAAAAAUUAGACUAGGGUCUGGGAUAUAUUGGUGCUCAAGAAUCUAUGCCCGUGGCAUGUGGAAAUUUCCAGGCCAGGGGUUGAACCUGAGCCACAGCAUUAACCUGAGCCACAGCAAUAACAAGGCCAGAUCCUUAACCCACUAGGCCACCAGGGAACUACUCAUUGGGGCAUUUUGUUCAGGGAGUGAGUUAACAUGAACAGAAUUUUUAAAGAAUCAUUUUUUUUUCUGCCAUGUAUAGAUUGGCAUGUAGGGCAGGGGAUAGGUACAUGCCAUAUAGUUAAUAGGACUUUGCAGUACUUAUAUCAGGUAAGUUUGACCUAGGGUGAAAGCAUUGGGAUGGGAGGAAGAGCUGAGAGAAUUUGUUGACAGCUUAUUUUUGAGUUUGUGGUUAAGAGAAUUAGGAAUUCUGAAUAUUUGACUUAGAAAAUUGGGGGAAUGGUGAUUAUUAAGGUAGAGAGGGGGCCCAUAGGAUUCACCAAACACACAAGGAAUCUACGGGGACAAAAAGGUUAAGAAUCUUAAUCGAGGAUUCUUUGUCUGUGAAUCUGUUUUUUCCACAUUUCUUAAGACAGUUUUUCUUUUAUCUUUCCUAUCUUCUUGGGAACUCACUUUCCCCCAAUUUACAUACUUGAUCUGAUAAUAAAACAAUGUGUGAAGAUGAUCUUUGUCAAACUGGUUUACCACAGAGCAGAAGUGAGAACAUAAUGAAUUGAACACUCGUUUCGGUGAAUAUGUCCCAAAGCUUUUCAAGACCCAGCUGUUCAGGUUGAGCAAGUGACUCUCAUGAAAAGUGAUUUGUAGUUAUUUUCAUUUUUAUUUCCCUUAUCUUUUUUUCCCCCCAGCUCUUUGAGCCUAUUUUUUCCUGUAGGUGGAAAAUAAUUUUAAUUUCUUUUGUUCCCAGAAUCAACCUGAAUGGUAGACAGACCAGCCUUUCAAUUUAGCCCUAUUGCAUUCGCUUGACAUGGUCCAGAUGGCCUUCGCUGAUGGAUAGCUACAUGCCACCUUCCACACUGUCCCUAACAAUGUCCUGUGAGGAUAUAAUCUAUACAGGCAUCCAGCCUUGCCCAUCACAUGGCCUUUUCUUUCCUACGUGUUUUACUGAAGAUCAACAGCAUCUAGAAAGGAAAUUUGUAAAGUUCUUGCAAGUGACGCAAAUCUUUCUGCCUUUGAUGACAAUAACAAUAAAACCAAAGCCUUAUAAAUUAUAAUUGUUGUUGGCAAGGACCAUUGUUAUUUGUUUCAGCAAGUACUGUCCUUCAGAGACUAGUAUAUAUAUAUUAUAUAUAUAAUCAUUUUACAUACUUAAAGAUAAUAUCACUGACUUGCCACCUGUAUUUAGCCACUUAAAUUAUUUUUCCAGUCGUGAUGAUAUGAGCUAAACCACUCCUUUCCAUUUUUCUUCCUUAUGGGGAAAAUUGCUACAUCAGUCAGGACUUCAUUGGUUGCAAAAUAUAGAAAUCCAACUUGAAGUAGUUUUGGCAGGAAAUCUAGGCUUCAGCAUCAAAAGAAGAGUUCAAGAAAUUUUUACAAGGCAAGGAGCAGUUCCACUGGUCCUAGGACUGACGUGGAACCUUUUUUCUUUCCAUCUCUCAUCCCUUCCCGCCCUGUCCCCCAACAGAACAUCUUCUACUGACAGCUCGAGAGCUGUAUCUUUCCAGUUUUAGCAUCAGGAAAGAAAGGAUUCCACCUCUCAGUCUCACAGGAAAAAAGUCUUAAAGAACAGUGACCAGGUUCGGUCUGAAAUCUAAAGACAGUCAAAUGGUUGUGAUAUGGGAGUCAAGGUUACAGAGUAAGACAGCAGCCCGCAGACCAUGAAUUUACAGAGUGGGUCAGGAGGCAGGUCCCUCCUAAGAGUGGGAGGAUGCUGUUGUCAGAGAAGAGAAGGCUAUUAGACAAACACAAAACAAAACACUUUUUUAAAAAAAGAAGCAGCAAGUCUUCAUUAAAAAAGAAUCCAUUUGCAAGAUGACCAGUGGGAAUUAGAAGUUAACUAAGCAACAAGGGAAUAGAGAUUUACUGGUUCAGGAGUGGGGCACACCUCUUCUUAGUUUUCAGUCCCAGACAGUUAAACUCAUUGGGUGAUCCUCUUAUUAAACUUAGAUAUCUAAUCACCAUCAGCCCUUUUCUGGCAAUCAAAUCCCAUUGAAUUGUUGCACUUUCCUGAUGUCUUUAUUUUAAUUUAGAGAAGUCUAUGGUUUUUUCCUUGUCUAUCGUGUUUCAGGGACUUUCCUUUUCAAGAAGUCUUUUAGGAGUUCCCAUCAUGGCACAGCGGAAACGAAUCUGAUUAGGAACCAUGAGGUUGUGGGUUCGAUCCCUGGCCUUGCUCAGUGGGUUAAGGAUCCGGCAUUGCCAUGAGCUGUGGUUUAGGUUGCAGAUGUGGCUUAGAUCUGGCGUUGCUCUGGCCGUGGCAUAGGCUGGUGGCUACAGCUCCAAUUAGACCCCUAGACUGGGAACCUCCAU
This 2909-nucleotide long non-coding RNA is filed under the name Sus scrofa (pig). Its description in RNAcentral is "lncRNA (ENSSSCG00060014559.1)". Lineage: Eukaryota; Metazoa; Chordata; Mammalia; Artiodactyla; Suidae. The record is from RNAcentral.